ACUCCGAUGGGGUGCGUCCGAGGGAAAUUUCAUGACCAGCUUCAGGAUU
Molecule: transfer RNA, 49 nt
Filed under: Cryptomonas paramaecium
Lineage: Eukaryota; Cryptophyceae; Cryptomonadales; Cryptomonadaceae
Description: Cryptomonas paramecium partial Selenocysteine transfer RNA
Source: RNAcentral